This 171-nucleotide unclassified non-coding RNA is filed under the name uncultured Helotiales. Its description in RNAcentral is "sequence contains ITS1". The record is from RNAcentral. Lineage: Eukaryota; Fungi; Ascomycota; Leotiomycetes; Helotiales.
UAGAGUUCAUGCCCUAUACAGGGUAGAUCUCCCACCCCAUGUGGACAUACCUUUGUUGCUUUGGCAGGCCUGAGGGACGCAAGUCUAUCCAUCGGCAUUAGCUGGUGAGAGCCUGCCAGAGGAUCCUAAAACUCAGAAUGUUAAUAUUGUCCAAGUAUAUCUUAAUAGUUA